Molecule: long non-coding RNA, 614 nt
Organism: Numida meleagris (helmeted guineafowl)
Lineage: Eukaryota; Metazoa; Chordata; Aves; Galliformes; Numididae
Source: Ensembl
CAGACCCACAGAUCCUGGACCCAUGGAUCAUGACCCACAGAUCCUAGACCCACAGACCCCAGACCCAUGGAGCCCAGACCCGUAGAUCCUGCACCCACAGAUCCUGGACCCACGGAUCCUAGAUCCACAGAUCCUGGACCCACAGACCCCAGACCCACGGAGCCCAGACCCAUGGAGCCCAGACCCACAGAUUCUGGACCCACAGAUCCUGGACCCACGGAGCCCAGACCCACAGAUCCAGGACCCACAACCUCCAGAACCACGGAGCCCAGACCCACAACCUUGAGACCCACAGAUCCCGGACCCACGACCUCCAGACCCACAGCUCCUGGACCCACAACCUCCAGAACCAUGGAGCUCAGACCCACGGAUCCUGGACCCACAGCCUCCAGAGCCACGGAUCCCAGACCCACGGAUCCUGACCCAUGGAGCCCAGACCCACGGAUUCUGGACCCACAGAACCCAGACCCACAACCUCGAGACCCACGGAUCCUAGACGCACAACUUCCAGAGCUAUGGAGCCCAGACCCACAGAUCCUGGACCCAUGGAGCCCAGACCCACAGAUCCUGGACCCACAGCCCCCAGACCCACGGAGCCCAGACCCAUGGAUCCU